This 277-nucleotide long non-coding RNA is filed under the name Homo sapiens (human). Its description in RNAcentral is "non-protein coding lnc-TMEM244-2:1". Lineage: Eukaryota; Metazoa; Chordata; Mammalia; Primates; Hominidae. The record is from RNAcentral.
UUGUCUGACCAGGAGACAAAUUCUUUAACCGAGGAGUUGGGGAAUAAGAAGGAAGGAGAAUACAUUAAAGUCAGAUAGCCGUAAGAUUCACUUCAAAGUGGAAAUGGCAACACAUCUCAGGAAACCCAGAGAAGUAUACUGCCAGUGUUGGGAGUUCCAGUGAAUUCACUCAGAUUUCUCUUUGAAGGUCAGAGAAUUGCUGAUAAUCAUAUCCCAAAAGACCUGAGAAUGUGUGUUCACAAAAGAUUUGAUUCAACUUUAUCAAGAACAAAUGGGG